This is a long non-coding RNA of Daphnia magna, 340 nucleotides long. RefSeq lists it as uncharacterized. The record is from RefSeq and is a predicted model, not a curated record. NCBI's taxonomy places the organism in Eukaryota, Metazoa, Arthropoda, Branchiopoda, Diplostraca, Daphniidae. The transcript is spliced from 2 exons.
AACAACUUCUGUCAAAACCAAGACUCCGCCGUCAAGCCGCCAUGUUUGACAGAUGACGUCACAAGUCACGUGAUCCAUAGUUGUUCGUAAACACUGAACGACCGGCGUCCGGCGAUUCCAGUACCCCUUCCUCUUACGAUGACGGAAUCGGAUGAAGAUGUUCUCAGAAACUAGGACGAAUUUCAGUUUUUCAACUAACAAGUUUAUUAUAUUUGAUUUGAAACGUUCAUGCAAAACAAAACUGAAUUACAGAAUGAAACAUAAUGCCGAAGAAUACUCUUUUUACACAGCUAUUUUACUACAGUGCAAAUUGAAAGGACGAUUGAUGCUUGUAUUUAAA